Molecule: ribosomal RNA, 253 nt
Filed under: uncultured bacterium
Lineage: Bacteria
Description: partial 16S ribosomal RNA
Rfam family: Bacterial small subunit ribosomal RNA
Source: RNAcentral
UACGGAAGGUGCAAGCGUUGCUCGGAAUUACUGGGCGUAAAGGGCGCGUAGGUGGCCUUUUGAGUCAGACGUGAAAUCCCCCGGCUUAACCUGGGAACUGCAUCUGAUACUGGAAGGCUUGAGUUCGGGAGAGGGAUGUGGAAUUCCAGGUGUAGCGGUGAAAUGCGUAGAUAUCUGGAGGAACACCGGUGGCGAAGGCGGCAUCCUGGACCGAAACUGACACUGAGGCGCGAAAGCCAGGGGAGCAAACGGG